GUUUCUUUGCAAUUUCUUGACUCCCAGUCCACGGCAGAUGAGGAAGAGGAGCAGGGCCAGCUAGCAGGGCCAGGGCUGGGGGAGCCGAGGGCGGCGCCCAGGAUGCAAGCUGUGCAGAGGUUCACGCAUGAGCCUGAGAGCGAGGAAAUUGAGUGGCAGAGAAUUUGAAUAACUCUCCUGGCUUCUACUUCUGGCCAAACUGGAGAAACAGGGAUCCGAUUUACUCUGCUUCCUGAGACAACUGGAAAACCAAGCAACAGCCCUCAAGGUAUUGGAUGCUGGUCAACGAAGGACAGUGAUCCCCGAGAGAUGAGAAACAAAUGAGGUAAGACUCUCACAUGUUCCAGCUCACUGCCUGGAGGAAGUUUCCAGUCCACCGUGCAGAUGGCGGGACGCCAGCCAAGCCCAGCAGCCUCCUUGAAUUGAGGCUACAGAACUAGGAGUCCAAGGAAAUCAAGGUGGCUAGAGUUUGCAGAGCAGGGCACCUGAGAGAAGAGAACUUGACAGAGAGAGAACUCUGGGGCCCUGCAAAGGGUCAGUCACAAGUAUUCAGUUUACUGACAAGAGCAUGUGUCGCUGACGCCGGAGGAAGAACCACUCGAAAGAAUUAGAGACAACAUUGCUGAGAGCUCACACUGGGCUGGGAAUAGUGCCGUUCCCAACAGCCGGAGUGGAAAACGCUCAUAAUUUGUGGGGCAUGUGUUAAAGGCCUAGGAAGGGAACUGCCUCAUGAGGGGAGAAAACUAACACUAAUUACUAAUACAGCAAUACAGACUAUACAGUAGCAAUACAGUAAUUAGUAAUUACUAAUACAGACUAAUACUGCACUGAUCACGUCAAACGAAACUUACAAGAAAGCCCUGAAGGGGCCACAUUGCAUCCAGAUAACUGGACCACAUGCUGAAAAACAGCUCAAAAAUAUAUUUUAGAAAUGUUUACCUAUGACCUGGUCAGAGAAAAUGUUGACAUGGAUGGGCUAAAGGUGUAAAAAGCUGGAAAUGCAUUUUAUCAUUUCUGGUUCUAAGUGUACUAAAUUAAAAUGGUCUCUAUUCCAAUGUAUUUAUUUGUUUGUUUAGUACAACAAUGUCCAGCACACAGCAAGGUAAGAUGUAAAAUGUCUAGUAUCCAAUAAAAAAAACGUAGGCAUGCAAAAGCAGCAAAAUAAGGAGAAAAAUCAAUCAAAUCUGACCCAGAUGAUAAAAUUAGUAGAUAAGGACAUUAAAACAAUCUUUACAACUUUAUUUCAUAUGUUCUAGAAGCUAGAGGAAAGGUUAGAUGUGUUAAGUAGAUACAAGGAAGACUUAAAAAAAACCGAAACACCCAGAUUGAAGUUCUAGAGAUGAAAACUACAAUGUCAGAGACAAAAAUACGUCAGACGACCGUCAUGUUAGAUAUCAGUGAAGAUUAGUGAACUUGAUGACUUAUCAAUAGAAACUGUCCAAAACUAAGCAAAGAAAACACAAACUAAUCUAUUCUGCAGAAAGUGGAGCAGUGGAUUUCUGGGGAUGAACCUUAAGUGGGGGGUGAGUAGGGGCACGAGGAAGAUUUUGGAGGUGAUGGACGUGUUCCUUAUCUUGGUUGUGGUGAUGGUUUCCCAUGUGUUUACAUACAUCAAAACGUAUAAAAUUGUACACUUUG
Long non-coding RNA from Equus caballus (horse), 1638 nucleotides. NCBI's taxonomy places the organism in Eukaryota, Metazoa, Chordata, Mammalia, Perissodactyla, Equidae. The record is from Ensembl.